ACAUGCCUACAACAUAGCGUUAAUGCAUCGGAUCCCAUUAGAACUCCGCAAUUAAAUGCGCACAAGCUAGAGUAGUAUUGGGAUGGGUGAUUUCCUAGGAAGUGCUAGUGUUUUACAUGCC
Non-coding RNA from Picea glauca (white spruce), 121 nucleotides. The record is from Rfam. Lineage: Eukaryota; Viridiplantae; Streptophyta; Pinopsida; Pinales; Pinaceae.